GACGAACGCUGGCGGCGUGCCUAAUACAUGCAAGUAGAACGCUGAAGAGAGGAGCUUGCUCUUCUUGGAUGAGUUGCGAACGGGUGAGUAACGCGUAGGUAACCUGCCUGGUAGCGGGGGAUAACUAUUGGAAACGAUAGCUAAUACCGCAUAAGAGUAGAUGUUGCAUGACAUUUGCUUAAAAGGUGCAAUUGCAUCACUACCAGAUGGACCUGCGUUGUAUUAGCUAGUUGGUGAGGUAACGGCUCACCAAGGCGACGAUACAUAGCCGACCUGAGAGGGUGAUCGGCCACACUGGGACUGAGACACGGCCCAGACUCCUACGGGAGGCAGCAGUAGGGAAUCUUCGGCAAUGGACGGGAGUCUGACCGAGCAACGCCGCGUGAGUGAAGAAGGUUUUCGGAUCGUAAAGCUCUGUUGUAAGAGAAGAACGAGUGUGAGAGUGGAAAGUUCACACUGUGACGGUAUCUUACCAGAAAGGGACGGCUAACUACGUGCCAGCAGCCGCGGUAAUACGUAGGUCCCGAGCGUUGUCCGGAUUUAUUGGGCGUAAAGCGAGCGCAGGCGGNUAGAUAAGCCUGAAGUUAAAGGCUGUGGCUUAACCAUAGUACGCUUUGGAAACUGUUUAACUUGAGUGCAAGAGGGGAGAGUGGAAUUCCAUGUGUAGCGGUGAAAUGCGUAGAUAUAUGGAGGAACACCGGUGGCGAAAGCGGCUCUCUGGCUUGUAACUGACGCUGAGGCUCGAAAGCGUGGGGAGCAAACAGG
This 765-nucleotide ribosomal RNA is filed under the name uncultured Streptococcus sp. Its description in RNAcentral is "bacterial SSU rRNA". It matches the Rfam family "Bacterial small subunit ribosomal RNA", at positions 28 to 776 of the family's 1533-position model. Lineage: Bacteria; Bacillati; Bacillota; Bacilli; Lactobacillales; Streptococcaceae. The record is from RNAcentral.